UUUUUUCUUUUUUCCUUUAAUUUUACGGUGCUGUAAAUGUCCAAAAUCUGGAGCCCCUAGUCCAGACUUCACUGGAUAACUAGAGAAACUGAGGCCAAGAGCAGGGCUGUGGCACAGGGAGGCAGCAGCUAGCCAAGGACAUUCCGGCCUCAAGGAGAUAGUGAAUGUGACCAGCAGGGCUGUCAACUUGCUGGCACCAUUGCUAACCUGCUCCUCCCUGAGUGGGGCUGGAGGCCCUGCCUGCCAGGGGUCCAGAGGAGGCAGGAAAAGACCCCACGCCUGUCACUAUGUUUUCCUUCUGAUUUGGUGACACCAAAUGCCCCCUCCUUGCCCAUAACACCCUUCAUACAAGAAAAGCUGAUAAAGUGACAGCAGCCCCAGUGGACUCCAGCAACCCUGGCAGGCUGUGAGGUCAAAUCUCCCUGGGUGCACCUGCCCCACUCAUGGGAAAAUCACUAGUGGCUGCAGGGGCAUGUCACCCUGGCCUCUAGCCCACAGGGGCAGCCCUUCCUAAGACCGGGGCCAUGCAGGCUUUCUAGAAGGCAGGAAAAGGGGCAGAAGGCCACAUGUAGGGACACCAAGCCAGACUGUAGGGCCUUGAUGCAUGUCAUGGUCACUGGAUGGGACAAUAGGGGAGGUGAAGUGACUUGCCCGAGGUCACACUGCUCAGCCCUGGGGCCAGCUGAACCUGUUGUCCUGCUCUGUGGCUGCUCUCGGGGAAGGAACCCUCUGGAAGUGUCAGCUCCCUGCCAGGCACCGCCUGGUCUGUCUCACUGAAGCGUCACUGCAACCCUUUGUUUAUUUAACAAGUAUUUAUUAAGCACCAACCACAGCAACAAACAGGGUUAUUAUUUCUCUUCUCAGCUGAAAAAUCACAGGCUGGGGGUUGGGGAGUGGGGAUGAAAAUGGGGGUCACACAGCAGAAGCGGCUCCCACUCAGGUCCGGUUGGCUCCAGGUCCCCGGCUCACCCUGGUCCCCAGCCUCUGGCUUUGGGCUCCCUUUGCUCAACUCGGAUCCAGAUCCCCCCAUGUCUGUCCGCAGCCCCCCAGGCCCAGCCCCAGCCCCUCCGGUCUCUGAAUCUUCCCCGGCUGCACCGCCAGCCACAGCCCUGCCUCCUCUGAGCCCCUAGGCUCUCACCGCCUGUCUGCACCACUCGGCUCCUUCUCAACUGUGGGAAAAGAACACACUGGCGAAGCCCUUGUGUUUGGGUGGCAAGACGUGGCUCUUGAUCUCAGCUCUGUCACCUCCUAGUGACAGUUUUGGACCUCAGUUUCCUCAUCUGCAAAGUGGACACGAUGGCGAUAGUACCUACAUCACCAGACCCCUGUUGAGGCAAGUGUGAUAACCAGUAGGAACAGAAACCCCGGGCUGAGGGCUUCACUGGGCUUUGCAGGUGGAAUGCAGAUGAUGGUGGUGGUGGUCGUGGUGAUGAUGAUGAUGAUGGCGACACAGGACGGGGGAUGGGGUCUGGGAAACCCAGCGUCAAGUCCUGGCUUCACCACUAACUGCUCCAGCCAGGUGCUCCUUCUCUCCAUCUGCAAAAUGGGGGACCAGAUUUGCUCCCUGGCAGGAGAGCAGGAAGAUGUAAUGAAACAAGGUGCCCAGCACAGAGGAGCUGUGGGUGGGUGUUCCUGAGUCUGAUUAGUCCCUUUCAUCUCUGAAGCCCCUGGGGCUUGCACAGGGAGGCUGACCCUUCCUCUACCAGAAGGAGCACGCACAGGGCAAUAGAGAUGAGGUGGGGCCGAGGGGCUGACUCAGUGUA
This 1763-nucleotide long non-coding RNA is filed under the name Canis lupus familiaris (dog). Its description in RNAcentral is "lncRNA (ENSCAFG00845023976.1)". Lineage: Eukaryota; Metazoa; Chordata; Mammalia; Carnivora; Canidae. The record is from RNAcentral.